UUCUAGCAAGAAUUGAGACGUUACAAUGAAGGAUAAUUUGUUCUUCUGAUGACAGUAUUUUCUGGAUCAUCUCAUGUGAAAUGAGUGUCUGUUAACAGCAUUAUCAGACUUUUGUUCUUGUGCACAUCAGGAGCUCAAGUGACGCCACUGAAACCCUGGCAUUUAUCACAGACAAAAUUAGGUCAGAAGAGAGCAGAGGUACUGAACUGAAAAGAGAUAAAUUCAUCCUUAGAA
This is a long non-coding RNA of Anas platyrhynchos (mallard), 234 nucleotides long. RefSeq lists it as uncharacterized. NCBI's taxonomy places the organism in Eukaryota, Metazoa, Chordata, Aves, Anseriformes, Anatidae. The record is from RefSeq and is a predicted model, not a curated record.